Molecule: non-coding RNA, 599 nt
Organism: Sesamum indicum (sesame)
Lineage: Eukaryota; Viridiplantae; Streptophyta; Magnoliopsida; Lamiales; Pedaliaceae
Source: RefSeq, a predicted model, not a curated record
AUGCCGGAAACAAAUGGUGGUGGCCUGUGCACGUGGUUAUUUGCAGAAGCUCGUCGGGUGGGCUGGCGCAAGUUAAUGGGGACUCUUUCUCAGGCCUUAAGUUGAGCAACAACAGAAGAGUCUAUCAAAAAAUUGAUGUUAGCAAAUCUAACACAAAAAUGCUGAGUAUACAAUGAAGUUGAUGAGAGCAAUCCAGGAGAGUGUGGUUAUUAGGACUAAUGGAGAGUGAAUAUCCAGAUUUCAGCAUUGAAGAGAAGUUAAAUGCUUUUGUUGCGUUGAUUGAUCUACUCAGAGUUGGUUCCAGUAUUAAAAUGGAGUUGUUGAACUGAGGAGGGUAACCUUCGAGUCACGGUCAAACACGGAUUCACUUUGCACGGUGAGAACAUCUACAUUCUAAUGUAGCUCUUUUCCAUUCCUACUUCAAUCUUAGAAAAGAAACAGGAUUAAUAAACAAACUUAUUUUUUCAUUUAUUUGUGUUGUUUACUAACCAUUCAUUUCCUUUUGCUUACAGCCUAUUGCCAUGAGCCAAUGAAGUUCAUUCCAUUGGGUAGAGUUGUUUUAAAUUUAUGAGAUGAGCUUCUGAUUGAUAAUUUUUAUG